GGCCUAUACAUUCAUGUAACGAUAAUAACGUAAAGAGAAGCUACAGCAAACAAAAAAUAUGUCUCAAUUUUGAAAUCUUACGCGUGUUAAGCUAUUAUUACAAUUUGUCUAACGUAUAUGAAACUUACUAGAGCGACAGUGCAAGAGCCAACAGUCAACACCUACAAUGAACAAUCAGAGGACCGAGUACCCGCUACAAUUACAAUGACUGCGAAUUUUGGAAGCGCCAUACUCUGAAAUGCGUUAACAACUUAUUCUUACCGCUAAGAAUAUAUAAAAUUUCUUGACCUUUGACACUGGGGCCGUCGGACCGAAAAUAAAACUAAUACUCUCCAAGGUACUCUCUUUUUAUCUGAAAUAAACUACAACAAUUUCCAAGAAGCUGCGGAACAAUUUAAGACAGACGAAAUAAAUAUGGAUUACUAGUAUCAAGAAUUCUAAAUAAUCAGAAAGAACCUCAAUAUUGUUAAUAGGUACAACUUCUGAUUCCAAGAGUAUGAGAGCGAUUGAAUCUUGGAAGAAAGUCAUCAAAGGGUUUUCCCGUACCGAAAUCUCUAGCAUUUUCCGAAUUUUAUCCUUUGUUUUUAGUAUACCUAGCUCAAACUGUUCCUAAUAAGUUGACUCACACACAUUCCCCAUAAGUGGACUGAUGUGAGAAAUAAAUGUAUCCCUUAUUUAAUAAAAAGCGAGUUGAUAGUGGUUUUUGAAGUUAUACUUCUUUAGGCGCGUUAUGAAAAAUUUCACUCUCAUCGUGACACAAAAUUAACAGAA
Long non-coding RNA from Pieris napi, 771 nucleotides. RefSeq lists it as uncharacterized. The transcript has 3 exons. Lineage: Eukaryota; Metazoa; Arthropoda; Insecta; Lepidoptera; Pieridae. The record is from RefSeq and is a predicted model, not a curated record.